RNAcentral lists this ribosomal RNA (303 nucleotides) under uncultured bacterium. Its description in RNAcentral is "partial 16S ribosomal RNA". It matches the Rfam family "Bacterial small subunit ribosomal RNA", at positions 507 to 807 of the family's 1533-position model. The record is from RNAcentral.
AGCAGCCGCCGCGGUAACACGGAGGGCGCAAGCGUUAAUCGGAAUUACUGGGCGUAAAGCGCACGCAGGCGGUUUGUUAAGUCAGAUGUGAAAUCCCCGAGCUUAACUUGGGAACUGCAUUUGAAACUGGCAAGCUAGAGUCUUGUAGAGGGGGGUAGAAUUCCAGGUGUAGCGGUGAAAUGCGUAGAGAUCUGGAGGAAUACCGGUGGCGAAGGCGGCCCCCUGGACAAAGUCUGACGCUCAGGUGCGAAAGCGUGGGGAGCAAACAGGAUUAGAUACCCGUGUAGUCCCUGUCUCUUAUAC